This 492-nucleotide ribosomal RNA is filed under the name uncultured bacterium. RNAcentral's name for it is "partial 16S ribosomal RNA". It matches the Rfam family "Bacterial small subunit ribosomal RNA", at positions 29 to 507 of the family's 1533-position model. The record is from RNAcentral.
AGUGAACGCUGGCGGUAGGCCUAACACAUGCAAGUCGAACGGCAGCACUGUAAGAGCUUGCUCUUACGGGUGGCGAGUGGCGGACGGGUGAGGAAUACAUCGGAAUCUACUUUUUCGUGGGGGAUAACGUAGGGAAACUUACGCUAAUACCGCAUACGACCUACGGGUGAAAGCAGGGGAUCUUCGGACCUUGCGCGAUUGAAUGAGCCGAUGUCGGAUUAGCUAGUUGGCGGGGUAAAGGCCCACCAAGGCGACGGUCCGUAGCUGGUCUGAGAGGAUGAUCAGCCACAAUGGAAAUGAGAAACGGUCCAGACUCCUACGGGAGGGAGCAGUGGGGAAUAUUGGAGCAUGGGCGCAAGCCUGAUCCAGGCAUACCGCGUGGGUGAAGAAGGCCUUCGGGUUGUAAAGCCCUUUUGUUGGGAAAGAAAAGCAGCAGGUUAAUACCCCGCUGUUCUGACGGUACCCAAAGAAUAAGCACCGGCUAACUUCGUG